UCACUUGUUUCUCUUCAAAUAGUAUAAAUAUUUCGCCUUUUACUAAAGAUUUACGUGGGGAGGAAUAACAAGAUUUAUAUCUCAAUUUUUGAUCAUCUGUGAAAGUGGA
Molecule: small nuclear RNA, 109 nt
Organism: Hippocampus zosterae (dwarf seahorse)
Lineage: Eukaryota; Metazoa; Chordata; Actinopteri; Syngnathiformes; Syngnathidae
Product: U5 spliceosomal RNA
Exons: 1
Source: RefSeq, a predicted model, not a curated record